This 456-nucleotide ribosomal RNA is filed under the name uncultured Thauera sp. Its description in RNAcentral is "bacterial SSU rRNA". It matches the Rfam family "Bacterial small subunit ribosomal RNA", at positions 925 to 1382 of the family's 1533-position model. Lineage: Bacteria; Pseudomonadati; Pseudomonadota; Betaproteobacteria; Rhodocyclales; Zoogloeaceae. The record is from RNAcentral.
ACAAGCGGUGGAGCAUGUGGUUUAAUUCGUAAGCAACGCGAAGAACCUUACCAGGUCUUGACAUCCCGAUGCUAUUCUAGAGAUAGAAAGUUACUUCGGUACAUCGGUGACAGGUGGUGCAUGGUUGUCGUCAGCUCGUGUCGUGAGAUGUUGGGUUAAGUCCCGCAACGAGCGCAACCCUUGUCACUAGUUGCCAUCAUUUGGUUGGGCACUCUAGUGAGACUGCCGGUGACAAACCGGAGGAAGGUGGGGAUGACGUCAAGUCCUCAUGGCCCUUAUGGGUAGGGCUUCACACGUCAUACAAUGGUCGGUACAGAGGGUUGCCAAGCCGCGAGGUGGAGCCAAUCCCUUAAAGCCGAUCGUAGUCCGGAUCGUAGUCUGCAACUCGACUACGUGAAGUCGGAAUCGCUAGUAAUCGCAGAUCAGCAUGCUGCGGUGAAUACGUUCCCGGGUCUU